This 439-nucleotide ribosomal RNA is filed under the name uncultured bacterium. Its description in RNAcentral is "partial 16S ribosomal RNA". It matches the Rfam family "Bacterial small subunit ribosomal RNA", at positions 339 to 795 of the family's 1533-position model. The record is from RNAcentral.
CUACGGGUCGCAGCAGUGAGGAAUAUUGCACAAUGGGGGGAACCCUGAUGCAGCAACGCCGCGUGGAGGAUGACGCAUUUCGGUGUGUAAACUCCUUUUAUAUGUCAAGAAGAUGACGGUAGCAUAUGAAUAAGCACCGGCUAACUCCGUGCCAGCAGCCUCGGUAAUACGGCGGGUGCAAGCGUUACUCGGAAUCACUGGGCGUAAAGGACGCGUAGGCGGGUUGGAAAGUCAGGUGUGAAAUCCUACAGCUUAACUGUAGAACUGCACUUGAAACUUCUAAUCUAGAGUAUGGGAGGGGGAGAUGGAAUUAGUUGUGUAGGGGUAAAAUCCGUAGAUAUCACUAGGAAUACCUAAAGCGAAGGCGAUCUCCUGGAACAUUACUGACGCUAAGGCGUGAAAGCGUGGGGAGCAAACAGGAUUAGAUACCCCGGUAGUC